ACGAACGCUGGCGGCGUGCUUAACACAUGCAAGUCGAACGGAAAGGCCCUGCUUUUGUGGUGUGCUCGAGUGGCGAACGGGUGAGUAACACGUGAGUAACCUGCCCUUGACUUUGGGAUAACUUCAGGAAACUGGGGCUAAUACCGGAUAGGAGCUCCUGCUGCAUGGUGGGGGUUGGAAAGUUUCGGCGGUUGGGGAUGGACUCGCGGCUUAUCAGCUUGUUGGUGGGGUAGUGGCUUACCAAGGCUUUGACGGGUAGCCGGCCUGAGAGGGUGACCGGCCACAUUGGGACUGAGAUACGGCCCAGACUCCUACGGGAGGCAGCAGUGGGGAAUAUUGCACAAUGGGCGGAAGCCUGAUGCAGCAACGCCGCGUGCGGGAUGACGGCCUUCGGGUUGUAAACCGCUUUCGCCUGUGACGAAGCGUGAGUGACGGUAAUGGGUAAAGAAGCACCGGCUAACUACGUG
This 467-nucleotide ribosomal RNA is filed under the name uncultured bacterium. RNAcentral's name for it is "partial 16S ribosomal RNA". It matches the Rfam family "Bacterial small subunit ribosomal RNA", at positions 29 to 507 of the family's 1533-position model. The record is from RNAcentral.